RNAcentral lists this unclassified non-coding RNA (357 nucleotides) under uncultured Basidiomycota. Its description in RNAcentral is "sequence contains ITS2". Lineage: Eukaryota; Fungi; Basidiomycota. The record is from RNAcentral.
AACGCAUGUGGCGCUCUUGGGAUAUCCCUUGAGCAUGCCUGUUUGAGUGUCGGUUCCUAAAUCUCAUUAUAACUCCAAAAGGGUUAUAAAAGGAUAAUGAGUUGGUCAUUUCUAAUCAAAAUGUCACUCUAAAGGAAUAAGAACUGUUAAACGUUUAAUUACUCGUUUCAUGUUUAUACCAUUGUUUAGUGAGAAUAUUAAUCUUUGGAUUGAUGUUCAACAAAACUUGACAAAGGAUUUAGACUGAUUUAGAGUUUGUUUAGCAUAAAAGUUCUUCUUCAUUGAAUUAACUAUAUCCUUUACUGGAUAUACUCAUUCAUCGACCUCAAAUCAGGUAAGAUUACCCGCUGAAUUUAA